CUAGAAGAAGGAAACACAUUAAACAUUGCUGUUAAUAAUUACUUAUUGACAGUAAAAAGAGUAACAGGUGAAGAUUUUUGGAUUCAUUCUAAAAUUUUUUAUAUAUUGAGUUUGGAUGUUAGAUAUAACCUCAUAAGUGAUGUUGGCACAUAUUAUAGUGUAAAACUACUUCAGAAAUAACUUAAUCUCAUUUACUUAAACCUUAUGUUUGAUGAUACUGGGCCUGAAGGAGGAGAAUUUUUCUUUCAAGGUGGAGAAUUGAUUGGCAAAGCACUAAAUGAGAACACAACUCUGAAAUACCUAAGAAUGACUGGAAACAAGAUUAAAAAUAAGAGUGGAAUAUUUUUUGCUGCAAUGCUGCAAAUUAAUUCAUCCUUAGAGAAAGUAGGUCUGGGUUACUGUGAUCUGGGAAUGCAAAGUGUGAUAGCAUUUGCUACGAUACUAACUCAAAACAAAGCAAUUAAGGGAAUAAACCUAAACUGACCUAUGCAGUAUGGCAAACAGAAAGAGUCCACAGCCCACGUAGGCCAUAUGUUGAAAGAAAAUAACUGCCUUGUUCAACUACACAUGUGUAAGCAUAAUAUAAAAAACUGUAGUAUACAACAAUUAUAUGUUAUUCAAUGUAUCUUAACAGUAGCCUAUGCUACCUUGAUGUCAGCUGCAAUCAAAUAUCUCAGGAUGGAAUUAUGUAUCUAGCUCAUGUAAAAGCAAUAUUACCCUAGAAGCAGUAGAUUUUUCUUUUAACAGAAUAGAAAAUGCAGGAGCUAAGUAUCUCCAAGAAAUUCUUACUUUACACAAUGGGCAUUUUAAAGCAUUGUCAGUAGUCAGCAACAACAUAGAGAAGGACUUGCACUUUCACAAUCAAUGAAAACGAAUCCCACAUUUUCUAAUAUCUACAUUUGGAGAAACAAAUUU
This 915-nucleotide long non-coding RNA is filed under the name Homo sapiens (human). RNAcentral describes it as "non-protein coding lnc-ETNK1-9:1". Lineage: Eukaryota; Metazoa; Chordata; Mammalia; Primates; Hominidae. The record is from RNAcentral.